GAAAAGAUUUGAAGGUGAAGU
RNAcentral lists this non-coding RNA (21 nucleotides) under Rattus norvegicus (Norway rat). Lineage: Eukaryota; Metazoa; Chordata; Mammalia; Rodentia; Muridae. The record is from RNAcentral.